UCAUUAGAUGUCUCAUGUUCGUGGGUUUCUUUUUACCGAACACCGUUCGACUCCCGUUCGAAUAGCCGAAAAUCCAUGGAAGGUAAAGUUUAGUGGUGUUCACGCCGUUGAUUGUCCCAUUUGAGUUCCAUGCACUCAACGACCAAACACCACUCAUUGUACUCGCAGCUUAAGAUGGCAGACACCACGUGGUUGAAUGGCACUUCGAAUGGCUUCGGGAGUUCGGGAGGUCAAAGUGCCACUUUGAAAGUUCGAACAGUUCCUAUUACCAGUCCCAACAGGCACAAAUAGUGUUUAACACAAACUUUACAAAUCCAGGGACAGAGGGUUUGUCGCAUGUACUAAUUCUAAUCCAAUUAUCUCCAAGCACAGAAAAAAAU
Pelobates cultripes (western spadefoot toad) is the source of this 380-nucleotide non-coding RNA. The record is from the annotation of a GenBank genome assembly. Lineage: Eukaryota; Metazoa; Chordata; Amphibia; Anura; Pelobatidae.